Molecule: unclassified non-coding RNA, 194 nt
Filed under: soil metagenome
Description: partial internal transcribed spacer 1
Source: RNAcentral
UUGAAUAAACCUGAUGUGGUUGUAGCUGGCUCUUUCGGGAGUAUGUGCACGGCCCAUCAUCUUUAUAUCUCCACCUGUGCACCUUUUGUAGACAGGAAGGAUUGAGAAAUCAAUCGUUUGGGUUUACGUUUUAUCAUAUACCCCAUAGUAUGUAUUAGAAUGAAUCAAUGGGCUUUGUGCCUAUAAACAUUAUA